This is a long non-coding RNA of Alligator sinensis (Chinese alligator), 3957 nucleotides long. RefSeq lists it as uncharacterized. NCBI's taxonomy places the organism in Eukaryota, Metazoa, Chordata, Crocodylia, Alligatoridae. The record is from RefSeq and is a predicted model, not a curated record. The transcript is spliced from 3 exons.
CCUAGCUCUGAAGAUGGAAUUAUUUAUUUCGUCACACUCCACACUCUAGUAUCUGAGUAUUUUACAAGUACUGGUGAAUUUAUUUUCAUAACACCCCUAGGAAAUGUGGAUAUUAGCUUCAUUUCACAGUUGAGGGUUCUCUGAAGCAUACUUAGGUCAAAGGUUUCUUUUAUUUUUGAAUACUCCAUUUGUGAACACACAGAACCUGGUAUGUAAUUAAUAGGUUCAAAAUGAGUUCUGUUGACUUCAGUUGCAGGUGUGAAUGCUCAGUACUUCUGUAAAUCAAAAUGCAGUCAGGCUCCCAGAAAAUGAGGAAUGAACCAUUAGUGGCCAACCUAUUAUGGCAUGGAGACCUCUUAGCAGAAGUAAGCAUAGACUCUAUCCAGGGUAGGAUUCAUAUAUUUCAUCAUAAGACCAUCUUUGUGCAGUCUCAUUCAGUAAAUAACUUCCAACUUUUGUAGUAAAUGAAGCAAGGUUCCUUCAUUCACUACAUAGCCCUCGCUGAUUCCCAGAAUAUUACCCAAUCUGUGCAUGGAAGUAUCAGAAAACACUUUCAAAGGGAAAUAGCUAUUAUUCACACAAGUACUUAUGUUGCCUUUUCUAUAAAUGCUUAUAGGUAGGAGUGAGAAUUUUUUUUUCAGCAUCUAGCCCAUAAAUAGCUUUACUACUUUUAAAAAAAAGGGUAUGUAAGUAGCCUUGAUUCUAUCACUUCUAAACAGUUUGUGCUUUAACUUUGCAACCUUAACUUUUUUUUUAGAAGAUUAUUUUGUGUAGUUUCCUAAGGUGUGUGUUUGUUUUGUUUUGUUUUGUUUUUAAGCACUGAAAACACAUUCUGUCAUGUGGCAUCAUUGUUACUCUGAGUUGUCAGCAGGGUUAUCAGGAGUAACUGAUAACAAUAAAUUAUUACUAUUAAAUCAUUUGUGUUACUAUAGCACUUAAAAGUUCUGAUCAUGAACCAGGAACCCACUGUGCUAAGUAUACAAACAGAGAAUAAAAAGUCUCUACAUGAGAGAGCUUAUAAUUUAAGUAUGAUAUAAGAGACCCUCAAUGGAGGUAGGCGACUGAGAAAAGCACAUGGAAACAUUGAGAGCAUUGAUCAGCAUGACACGCAAUGGUGUUAGCACACCAGUCUUUUGUCAGGUAAAAUGAGGACAAUGAAGCAGCUCUGUAGAUUCUGAAGGGGAGCAUGACACGUGCAGAAGUGCAUAUUUGAAAAUUUACUAAGUGGUAGACGGAGGCAGGAGUUGAUUACUGUAUAAUACAGGUGGAUAGGUAGAAUGGAAACUGGCUAUGAAGGGCCUUGAAGUUAAGUCAAGCAGCUUAUGACUGAUGCAAUAGAAAAUGAAGAGCUAAUGGAAGAAUUCCAAAGAGUGAACUGGUCAUAGAUGUUAGGUGAAUGUUCUCUCUAGCAAUACAUAGUGAAUAUGUAUGAUGAAGAUUGCAUUUGUCUGGGUUACAGGAAAAGAAGUUGUGGUAAUUGGGUUGCAAGAUGAAAGAUGAAGUUGUGUGUGAAUUGAUAAGUACCAUUGUAUGUUAAACAUAUUAAGAUGAAAGACUGCAGCUUCAGACAGUUUAGAUGUGGAGACAUUGGAGGUCAGAGUUAAAGGUGAUGCUCAGUUGACGGUGUUGAGUGGUAGGGAGGUGGGUGUGUGAGGGGGAUGACAGAUUAAGUGCUUGGUCACAGCUGUGUUUUGUUGGAGGUGACGAGUAGACAUCUAUGAGAAGUCAGAGAGAGGUGGACUAAGAUUUUAUUUUAAACAGGAGGAAGUAGAGCUAUGGUUUGUCAGGAUAGAGAUAAUAAUUGAACAUGUAUUUGCAGAUGAAAUUACUUGGAUAUAAGGUGGGGGGGGAGUGGAGAAAUGAAAGGAAGAAAAGCACUCGAAUCCUCAGAGAAACUUGGAGGGGAGAUAUGGAAGAUGUUCUGAUGGAACAAAUAGAGAAGUCAAGCAACCACUAGUAGAUGGCAGUGUCAUGGAAGCCUAGGAAGGACAAGAUUUUAAGCAGCAGCAUAGUUAACUGUAUUGAAUGGUGGCUGACAGAAUGUGAGGACUAAGUACUGUUUUUUGUUUCUGUUAGGAAAAGGUAAUUAAACUACACUUUUAGUAGAAGGCCAGGUAUGGAAGCUGGAUUGAGGCUCUAGAAUCAAAAUGGAAGAAAGGCAUUUCAGACAACUGUUGUGGAUGGAAUAUAUAGUUAUCUUGGAAAUACAAGAAUGAUGGAAGAUGUUUACAAGUCAAAAGCCAAAUAUGGUCAAGUGUGAUUUUCAGGUGGGUAGGGUGAAGCAGGUUUGCACUAAGGAAAGAGCCAAGAGAAAGUAAGAAAUUUACUAGUUGGAAAAAGAGAGAGAGAGAUCUGUGGUCACUGGGAAAACUAAAACGGUUGAAGAGGAGAACAGACAAGCUUUUUGGUGCCUGUGACUAGAGGUGGGAAGGAGAGAUAUGAGAGGGGAGGUAGAAAUGUAUAUUCCUCCCCCACCACCACCACCAUGCCCCAAUCCAAAUUUCUCUCGGCAGAAAGUAGUGAGAUUCUGAAAGAAUGAGGUGGCAUCAAGAGGAGAAAAGGGUUGUGGGUGAGUUUAAGGUGGUGAAAAUGUAGUUGGGAUUGAGCAAUGAUCAUUCAGUUAAAUUGGAGAAGUAGUUUAGUUAGGAAGGAUAGCAGAACUGAAGGAGGAAUUCAUAGUGGAAAAAGUUUACCAGUUCCAUUAGUAUAGAUCAGACCAACACUGGAGGAAGAUAGGCAUUUUUUGCCUUUUCACAGGUAUUUGCUGACAACAGAGGAAUGAUGAGCUCCAGGAAUCUUGGGUUCCAUUCCCAGGUCUGAAGAUGAUUUGUGAAAUGCUGAGAGCUUGGAAAUAUACAUAGAAGUAAAGUAAUAUUGCUUUUCAAGUUUGGCUGUAAAUGAAGUAGAGUUCAAGUAUUCAGGAAAUAAAGAAUAUAAAACAUUCUCUAAGAGCUGAUUUGCAUAGUUCGGAAGAAAUCCAUGGACCUUAAUAUUCUGUCAGGAUAUUCUGAAGUCAGAAAACAAACACAGAAUGUUUAAUUUUAUUCAAAGGAGAAUUUUCUUUCACUUUUUUUUUUUUCAUUUUUCCAAAUUAAAAUUACCUCUAUCCACAUUAUACAAUUUGCAUUGCAAAUUAAAUUGGCCAAUUCUCUAUAAAUUCUCUAAUUCACUUUGAAGGUGGAUUAAGUUAAUUGCAAAUUGAGUUAGUAUGGACUGAUCUUUAUACUAAUAGUGGCAGUCCUCCAGCUUCUAUUCCAAGCUGCUCUGCAUGACCCUGUCACCAGAAUCACCCUGUCUGUUUACUUGUGCCCCCCUCCCCUCAUUACUUUAGGAUUCCAUUUGCUGGAUGUCACUUUCUGUUUGUGUAUUGCACAGUCAGGAUUUGGUCCAUUUGCAGUUGGUCCAUCUGCAGUAGCAGACCUUAGCAAUAUAGAACCUUUAAAGCCAUGCAAUACUACACCCAGGAUCUCUGAACGAGGUCUCUGGGGAGAGGGGAAUCCCUGCAAUAAAUGGGCAAGUAAAGCCAUCACUAGACAAAUGGCCAACAAGGGUGACUCAUACUCCAACAAAAGCAAGGACCUCAGGUAUAUAAGAAAGCCAAGUACAAAAAGAUCAUCAAACGUGUUCUGUCACUCCUUACGGUGAAGAGUGGAACUGGACGCUACUUUAUCCUGGACACUUGAACCUGAUUUAUGGUGAACAUGCUAGAAGCAAUUAAAGACUGUGGACCUUCUGGCCACCUAGAAACCCUAGGAACCAGGAGGUGGUCUUCCAGUUGUCCAGGAUCUCUUCCUUAUAAAAGGAUAUGAGACAGACCCUAAAGCCACCCACUGAACAGCCGUACAGCCCUGGAGAUGAAACAUCAACUAUUCCUGCACCUGAAGGACUGUGACUCUUGGGUGAAACCAUUAUCCAGGGCUUAACACCCAUGUUCUCAGGAGUGGGGGAAAAAAAAAA